This 478-nucleotide ribosomal RNA is filed under the name uncultured bacterium. RNAcentral's name for it is "partial 16S ribosomal RNA". It matches the Rfam family "Bacterial small subunit ribosomal RNA", at positions 28 to 507 of the family's 1533-position model. The record is from RNAcentral.
GAUGAACGCUGGCGGCGUGCCUAACACAUGCAAGUCGAACGGAGUCCAGCCUUUAAGACCUUCGGGUCAAAGAGGGGAAGACUGAGUGGCGGACGGGUGAGUAACACGUGGGCAACCUGGCUCAUAGAGGGGGAUAACAGAGAGAAAUUUCUGCUAAUACCGCAUAAGCACACACUGCCGCAUGGCAGAGGGUGAAAAGAGAAUCGCUAUGAGAUGGACCCGCGUCUGAUUAGCCAGUUGGCAGGGUAAGAGCCUACCAAAGCGACGAUCAGUAGCCGAUCUGAGAGGAUGAACGGCCACAUUGGGACUGAGACACGGCCCAAACUCCUACGGGAGGCAGCAGUGGGGGAUAUUGCACAAUGGGGGGAACCCUGAUGCAGCGACGCCGCGUGAGUGAAGAAGUAUUUCGGUAUGUAAAGCUCUAUCAGCAGGGAGGAUAAUGACAGUACCUGAAUAAGAAGCCCCGGCUAACUACGUG